UGGGCGUGAGUAUGAAAGUUUAUUAAGUUAAUAGCCUUAAUUAAAGCAAAACCUAUUUACUAUGGCGGCUGUUAGUCUCACCAGAGUCGUAUGUCCUUAAACGAAACUGCGCGAUCAUCUUACCUUUUAACUUUUGCUAAUAUAAAAUAAUUACAUUAUAGCAAUCUGGCACGUCGCUGUACUAAAAGUGAAGAUUUUAAAUAACUCAUCUUCUAAUUACUUAUUAGCAUUUAUUAAUAACGUACAAGUCAAGACGCCGUUUUAAGAGGCUUAAGAUGUACGAUUUAAUUGAUUUGAUAGAAUUUAUAAGAAUGAAAACUUUCUUUAUUAAAAUAAUUUGGAAGUAAAAUAGGGUUAUUAUUCUUAUUUGAAAUGAGCUACUAAUAAGUGUA
RNAcentral lists this ribosomal RNA (392 nucleotides) under Pediculus humanus capitis (human head louse). RNAcentral's name for it is "partial 12S ribosomal RNA". The record is from RNAcentral. Lineage: Eukaryota; Metazoa; Arthropoda; Insecta; Psocodea; Pediculidae.